RNAcentral lists this non-coding RNA (545 nucleotides) under Pan troglodytes (chimpanzee). Lineage: Eukaryota; Metazoa; Chordata; Mammalia; Primates; Hominidae. The record is from RNAcentral.
ACUGACCGGUGCGAGGCGGUGCUGACCGGUGCUGACCGGUGCGGACCGGUGCGGGCCGGUGCCGGCCAGUGCAGGCCAGGCCCGGCCGGGGCGAGGCAGGUGGCCGCGUCCGAGGACCGCGUCGCACAGCAGCUUCCAGGACCUGGAGAGAAAUCGAGGAAAAGUGGGCAAGUUUUGAGUUCAACCUGAGGCCUCAAGGAUGUGUGCAACCCAUGGUACUUGAAUUUACUUAUUGACUGUUUUUUUGGAAAUCCUUAUUUCCCAAAACUCGUGGAAGGAGCUGACUUCUGGCAGGAAAUGUGGAACUGGCAGCGUGUCGUGCAAGCAUCUGCAAUCCCAGUCCUGAGCUGGACUUCUCAGAGAGGCUGGGCAUUAUUUAUGGAGAUGUCGGAGUGACAAGGGGAACUUCUGGCCAGGAACUGCCGGUGGUGUCACAUCCUUAACCUGGCUGACAUCGGAACACCCUGGGGGGAGCAUUUCUCCAGGAAAGGAUGGUGGGUCAGGAGCCCGCAUGGUGUCUUUUCAAAGCAAUAAUAAAGAUAUCA